GAGUUUGAUCUUGGCUCAGAACGAACGCUGGCGGCAGGCUUAACACAUGCAAGUCGAACGCCCCGCAAGGGGAGUGGCAGACGGGUGAGUAACGCGUGGGAAUCUACCCAGAUCUUCGGAACAACUGAGGGAAACUUCAGCUAAUACCGGAUACGCCCUACGGGGAAGAUUUAUCGGUUCUGGAUGAGCCCGCGUUGGAUUAGCUAGUUGGUGGGGUAAUGGCCUACCAAGGCGACGAUCCAUAGCUGGUCUGAGAGGAUGAUCAGCCACACUGGGACUGAGACACGGCCCAGACUCCUACGGGAGGCAGCAGUGGGGAAUAUUGGUCAAUGGGCGGAAGCCUGAACCAGCCAUGCCGCGUGAGUGAUGAAGGCCUUAGGGUUGUAAAGCUCUUUCAGUAGGGAAGAUAAUGACGGUACUACAGAAGAAGCCCCGGCUAACUUCGUGCCAGCCGCCGCAGUAAC
Molecule: ribosomal RNA, 464 nt
Filed under: uncultured Alphaproteobacteria bacterium
Lineage: Bacteria; Pseudomonadati; Pseudomonadota; Alphaproteobacteria
Description: bacterial SSU rRNA
Rfam family: Bacterial small subunit ribosomal RNA
Source: RNAcentral